ACACGACUACAUUAGAUACCCGGGUAGUCCUAGGCGUAAAUGAUGCGAGUUAAGUGUGGGGGCAUCUACGAGAUGGCCCUGUGCUGUAGGGUAGCCGUUAAACUCGCUGCCUGGGAGUACGGUCGCAAGGCUGAAACUUAAAGGAAUUGGCGGGGGAGCACCACAACGGGUGGAGCUUGCGGUUUAAUUGGAUUCAACGCCGGAAAUCUCACCGGAUAAGACAGCUGAAUGAUAGUCGGGAUGAAGACUCUACUUGACUAGCUG
RNAcentral lists this ribosomal RNA (264 nucleotides) under uncultured archaeon. RNAcentral describes it as "partial 16S ribosomal RNA". It matches the Rfam family "Archaeal small subunit ribosomal RNA", at positions 717 to 982 of the family's 1478-position model. The record is from RNAcentral.